RNAcentral lists this long non-coding RNA (879 nucleotides) under Homo sapiens (human). RNAcentral's name for it is "non-protein coding lnc-TBX20-3:5". The record is from RNAcentral. Lineage: Eukaryota; Metazoa; Chordata; Mammalia; Primates; Hominidae.
CUGAUAUCAAAGGGUAAUUCACGUUGGUUUGAGUAACAAGGUGAGAAUUUAUUGUUGACCCUAUAGUACUCUUCAUAUAAGAACUAGAAAUAAAUGGUUUCUUUCGUUUCAGCUCUUUGGCUGGCUUUUUCGCAGAGUUCGUUUUGAUAAUGUUAUCUUUGGCAUUCUAACAGUGAUGUCAAUACAAGGUUAUGCAAACCUCCGUAAUCAAUGGAGCAUAAUAGGAGAAUUUAAUAAUUUGCCUCAGGAAGAACUUUUACAGUGGAUCAAAUACAAUACCACAUCAGAUGCUGUCUUCGCAGGUGCCAUGCCUACAAUGGCAAGCGUCAAGCUGUCUACACUUCAUCCCAUUGUGAAUCAUCCACUUUACGAAGAUGCAGACUUGAGGGCUCGGACAAAAAUAGUUUAUUCUACAUAUAGUCGAAAAUCUGCCAAAGAAGUAGGAGAGAAAUUGUUGGAGUUACAUGUGAAUUAUUAUGUUUUAGAAGAGGCAUGGUGUGUUGUGAGAACUAAGCCUGGUUGCAGUAUGCUUGAAAUCUGUGAUGUGGAAGACCCUUCCAAUGCAGCUAACCCUCCCUUAUGUAGCGUCCUGCUCAAAGAUGCCAGGCCUUACUUCACCACAGUAUUUCAGAAUAGUGUGUACAGAGUAUUGAGGGUUAACUGAGAAGGAAACUACCCAUUACACUAUGGCACAAUGUGGUGUGUCAAAAACAAUCACCCUUUGGCUUAUUUACAUUAAUAAAAAUCACAAGCUUUAAUAACAGACACUUAAAAAUAAGAUAAAAAUGGAUUGAAAGUUUCUCUGAUUACUAAAAGGUAAAUUACUUUUCUGUUCAUUGAAUGUCAGCCUUAUUAAGCUUGUCAUAUAAGUUAUUAAAU